RNAcentral lists this ribosomal RNA (601 nucleotides) under uncultured bacterium. Its description in RNAcentral is "bacterial SSU rRNA". It matches the Rfam family "Bacterial small subunit ribosomal RNA", at positions 737 to 1342 of the family's 1533-position model. The record is from RNAcentral.
UUACUGACGCUAAAGCUCGAAGGUGCGGGUAUCGAACAGGAUUAGAUACCCUGGUAGUCCGCACGGUAAACGAUGGAUGCCCGCUGUUUGCGAUAUAUUGUAAGCGGCCAAGAGAAAUCGUUAAGCAUCCCACCUGGGGAGUACGCCGGCAACGGUGAAACUCAAAGGAAUUGACGGGGGCCCGCACAAGCGGAGGAACAUGUGGUUUAAUUCGAUGAUACGCGAGGAACCUUACCCGGGCUUGAACUGCAGCGGAAGGAUACAGAGAUGUUGACGUCCUUCGGGACCGCUGUGGAGGUGCUGCAUGGUUGUCGUCAGCUCGUGCCGUGAGGUGUCGGCUUAAGUGCCAUAACGAGCGCAACCCUUUUCAUCAGUUGCCAUCAGGUGAUGCUGGGCACUCUGUUGAUACUGCCACCGUAAGGUGUGAGGAAGGUGGGGAUGACGUCAAAUCAGCACGGCCCUUACGUCCGGGGCUACACACGUGUUACAAUGGGGCAUACAGAAGGCAGGAUCAUGGCAACAUGGUUCAAAUCUUUAAAGUGCUCCUCAGUUCGGAUUGGGGUCUGCAACCCGACCCCAUGAAGCUGGAUUCGCUAGUAAU